GGAGUCUGGACCGUGUCUCAGUUCCAGUGUGGGGGACCUUCCUCUCAGAACCCCUAGACAUCGUCGCCUCGGUGUGCCGUUACCACGCCGACUAGCUAAUGUCUCGCGAGCCCAUCCGCAUCCGACGGAUCUUUCAAACGUGGGUCAUGCGGCCCUCGUUGUUAUGGGAAAUUAGACGGCGUUUCCACCGCUUAUGCCCCGGAUGCGGGCAGGUUGCUCACGCGUUACGCACCCUUUCGCCGGUCGCCGGCGGGUAUUGCUACCCCCGCUGCCCCUCGACUUGCAUGUGUUAAGCCUGCCGCUAGCGUUCAUC
RNAcentral lists this ribosomal RNA (313 nucleotides) under uncultured Bacteroidales bacterium. RNAcentral describes it as "partial 16S ribosomal RNA". Lineage: Bacteria; Pseudomonadati; Bacteroidota; Bacteroidia; Bacteroidales. The record is from RNAcentral.